Molecule: transfer RNA, 60 nt
Filed under: Phallocryptus tserensodnomi
Lineage: Eukaryota; Metazoa; Arthropoda; Branchiopoda; Anostraca; Thamnocephalidae
Description: tRNA-His
Source: RNAcentral
AUUAUUGUAGUUUAAAGAGAAUACUAGCUUGUGGCGCUGGGGGUGUUGAGGCCAAUAAUA